GAUGAACGCUGGCGGCGUGCCUAAUACAUGCAAGUCGAGCGAACGGACGAGAAGCUUGCUUCUCUGAUGUUAGCGGCGGACGGGUGAGUAACACGUGGAUAACCUACCUAUAAGACUGGGAUAACUUCGGGAAACCGUAGCUAAUACCGGAUAAUAUUUUGAACCGCAUGGUUCAAAAGUGAAAGACGGUCUUGCUGUCACUUAUAGAUGGAUCCGCGCUGCAUUAGCUAGUUGGUAAGGUAACGGCUUACCAAGGCAACGAUGCAUAGCCGACCUGAGAGGGUGAUCGGCCACACUGGAAGGGAGACACGGUCCAGACUCCUACGGGAGGCAGCAGUAGGGAAUCUUCCGCAAUGGGCGAAAGCCUGACGGAGCAACGCCGCGUGAGCGAUGAAGGUCUUCGGAUCGUAAAACUCUGUUAUUAGGGAAGAACAUAUGUGUAAGUAACUGUGCACAUCUUGACGGUACCUAAUCAGAAAGCCACGGCUAACUACGUG
Molecule: ribosomal RNA, 497 nt
Filed under: uncultured bacterium
Lineage: Bacteria
Description: partial 16S ribosomal RNA
Rfam family: Bacterial small subunit ribosomal RNA
Source: RNAcentral